UAAUUUGUUUGGGGCAUAUCUUUAUUUGGUUAUAGCAAAUCUAUACUUGACUACUUAAAAUCACCAAUGACAACUAUUAUGUGAAUAAUAACUUUUUAAAAU
Non-coding RNA from Populus trichocarpa (black cottonwood), 102 nucleotides. The record is from Rfam. Lineage: Eukaryota; Viridiplantae; Streptophyta; Magnoliopsida; Malpighiales; Salicaceae.